This 409-nucleotide long non-coding RNA is filed under the name Capsicum annuum. Its description in RNAcentral is "long non-coding RNA (CANN_LNC000012)". The record is from RNAcentral. Lineage: Eukaryota; Viridiplantae; Streptophyta; Magnoliopsida; Solanales; Solanaceae.
UCGUGACCAUGCCUUACACGAUUGCGAAGCAUUGCUAGGGCAUGCCGAUGUGACCGUGAAGGUUACCCACCAACCACACUGCAUGAUCGUUAUUAAGCUUGCACCAAUAGAAAUUUGCAUGAUCUAAUUCUAUUACCUGAAGCUCUAUCAUUGCGCGAUCGUGACCAUGCCUUAUGCCAUUGCGAAGCAUUGCUAGGGCAUGCCGAUGUGACCGUGAAGGUUACCCACCAACCACACUGCAUGAUCGUUAUUAAGCUUGCACCAAUAGCAAUUUGCAAUUGCUGUCUUCUCCCCAAGCGUGUCAAAAUCCACCCAAGCCCCUCAGGUCCCAAUCCAAACAUUCCAAGAAGUCGUAAAACAUAAUACCAGCCUGUAGGAAGUUUCAAACACGAAACAGAGCAUAAAAUCU